AAUUUUUGAGAGUUUGAUCCUGGCUCAGGAUUAAUGCUAGCGGGAUGCCUAAUACAUGCAAGUCGAACGAGGUGUUUACACCUAGUGGCGAACGGGUGAGUAACACGUAUCUAACAUACCUUUUAGUGGGGGAUAACUAGUCGAAAGAUUAGCUAAUACCGCAUAAUACAUUACUAUCGCAUGAGAAAAUGUUUAAAGUUGCGUUUGCAACGUUUUAAGAUUGGGGUGCGGCGUAUCAGAUAGUUGGUGAGGUAAUGGCUCACCAAGUCAAUGACGCGUAGCUGUGCUGAGAGGCAGAACAGCCACAAUGGGACUGAGACACGGCCCAUACUUCUACGGAAGGCAGCAGUAGGGAAUUUUUCACAAUGGGCGAAAGCCUGAUGGAGCAAUCCCGCGUGAACGAUGAAGGUCUUAUAUUGAUUGUAAAGUUCUUUUAUUGGAGACGAAUUGCAAGAAGAGGAAAUGCUUCUUGUUUGACUGUAUCCAUUGAAUAAGUAUCGGCUAACUAUGUGCCAGCAGCCGCGGUAAUACAUAGGAUGCAAGCAUUAUCCGGAUUUACUGGGCGUAAAGCGAGCGCAGGCGGAUUUGCAAGUCUGGUGUUAAAUGCAGCUGCUUAACGGUUGUAUGCAUUGGAAACUGCAAGUCUAGAGUGCAGUAGGGAGUUCUGGAACUCCAUGUGGAGCGGUGGAAUGCGUAGAUAUAUGGAAGAACACCAGUGGCGAAGGCGAGAACUUGGACUGUAACUGACGCUUAGGCUCGAAAGUGUGGGGAGCAAAUAGGAUUAGAUACCCUGGUAGUCCGCGCCGUAAACGAUGGAUACUAGGUGUAGGAGGUAUCGACUCCUUCUGUGCCGCAGUCAACACAAUAAGUAUC
This 873-nucleotide ribosomal RNA is filed under the name Mycoplasma sp. Its description in RNAcentral is "bacterial SSU rRNA". It matches the Rfam family "Bacterial small subunit ribosomal RNA", at positions 1 to 868 of the family's 1533-position model. The record is from RNAcentral. Lineage: Bacteria; Bacillati; Mycoplasmatota; Mollicutes; Mycoplasmatales; Mycoplasmataceae.